Molecule: long non-coding RNA, 573 nt
Organism: Dendroctonus ponderosae (mountain pine beetle)
Lineage: Eukaryota; Metazoa; Arthropoda; Insecta; Coleoptera; Curculionidae
Exons: 2
Source: RefSeq, a predicted model, not a curated record
UAAAGUGUCAAAUGCUGACUUACUUUGAAGCUCCUUUCCCGAGUUUGCGGAUAUGCGGUUAGUUCUGACGAAAUGCCACAGACACAAAGCAGAAGAUCUAAGAACUCACAUCAAUAAAUGGCUAGAGGCACUGGAACAUUGGCUCCAGGAGGAUAGUAGACACAGAGGAACAAGUUUUGGAGAUAGUUGCAGCAGAGGCUUCCAGGGGUACUUCGAGCACGACACAGCUACCGAUACUUUCGCAGAACACCUUCAAGCAACAUCUCCAGAAGAAUAACGCCAGUUUUGUUUAUCACCCUGUAUACGCUCAUAAUAUUGGGAUGAUGAAGAUGACCAUAUUGGAAGGAUACACCUAUUACAAGCACAUGUUGUUGGCCACAAGGUUGUUGAAAAAUGCACAGACAAGAAGACUGAAGAGAGUGACUGACCUACCGGAAAGAUUCAUGAGUAGUUGACAUAGCUUAGAACUAAAUAUUUAGCAGACCGCAUAGCAGCUGCUGAGUCGUCAUCUGAACUAGACUAUUUUGAUGUGAGCUAAUCUUUUACAAACUCUAUUACAUCUAUCACACAAUU